GACGAACGCUGGCGGCGUUCCUAAUACAUGCAAGUAGAACUCAGUUUCGAACGGGUGAGUAACGCGUAGGUAACUGCCUCAUAGCUGGGGUUAACUAUUGGACACGCUAUCUCAUCCCGCUUCCUGUGAGAUGGACCUGCGUUGUAUUAGCUCGUUGGUGAGGUAAAGGCUCACCAAGGCGACGAUACAUAGCCGGCCUGAGAGGGUGAUCGGCCACACUGGGACUGAGACACGGCCCAGACUCCUGCGGGAGGCAGCAGUAGGGAAUCUUCGGCAAGGGACGGAAGUAUGAGCGAGCAACGCCGCGUGAGUGAAGAAGGUUUUCGGAUCGUAAAGCUCUGUUGUUAGAGAAGAGGUAAAUAACCAGAAAGGGACGGCUAACUACGUGACAGCAGCCGCGGUAAUUC
RNAcentral lists this ribosomal RNA (407 nucleotides) under uncultured bacterium. RNAcentral's name for it is "partial 16S ribosomal RNA". It matches the Rfam family "Bacterial small subunit ribosomal RNA", at positions 28 to 526 of the family's 1533-position model. The record is from RNAcentral.